GAUGAACGCUGGCGGCGUGCUUAACACAUGCAAGUCGAACGGUGAAGCAGAGCUUGCUCUGUGGAUCAGUGGCGAACGGGUGAGUAACACGUGAGCAACCUGCCCUGGACUCUGGGAUAAGCGCUGGAAACGGCGUCUAAUACUGGAUACGAGACGUGGCCGCAUGGUCAACGUUUGGAAAGAUUUUUUGGUUCAGGAUGGGCUCGCGGCCUAUCAGCUUGUUGGUGAGGUAAUGGCUCACCAAGGCGUCGACGGGUAGCCGGCCUGAGAGGGUGACCGGCCACACUGGGACUGAGACACGGCCCAGACUCCUACGGGAGGCAGCAGUGGGGAAUAUUGCACAAUGGGCGAAAGCCUGAUGCAGCAACGCCGCGUGAGGGAUGACGGCCUUCGGGUUGUAAACCUCUUUUAGCAAGGAAGAAGCGAAAGUGACGGUACUUGCAGAAAAAGCGCCGGCUAACUACGUGCCAGCAGCCGCGGUAAUACGUAGGGCGCAAGCGUUAUCCGGAAUUAUUGGGCGUAAAGAGCUCGUAGGCGGUUUGUCGCGUCUGCUGUGAAAACUGGAGGCUCAACCUCCAGCCUGCAGUGGGUACGGGCAGACUAGAGUGCGGUAGGGGAGAUUGGAAUUCCUGGUGUAGCGGUGGAAUGCGCAGAUAUCAGGAGGAACACCGAUGGCGAAGGCAGAUCUCUGGGCCGUAACUGACGCUGAGGAGCGAAAGGGUGGGGAGCAAACAGGCUUAGAUACCCUGGUAGUCCACCCCGUAAACGUUGGGAACUAGUUGUGGGGACCAUUCCACGGUUUCCGUGACGCAGCUAACGCAUUAAGUUCCCCGCCUGGGGAGUACGGCCGCAAGGCUAAAACUCAAAGGAAUUGACGGGGACCCGCACAAGCGGCGGAGCAUGCGGAUUAAUUCGAUGCAACGCGAAGAACCUUACCAAGGCUUGACAUAUACGAGAACGCUGCAGAAAUGUAGAACUCUUUGGACACUCGUAUACAGGUGGUGCAUGGUUGUCGUCAGCUCGUGUCGUGAGAUGUUGGGUUAAGUCCCGCAACGAGCGCAACCCUCGUUCUAUGUUGCCAGCACGUAAUGGUGGGAACU
RNAcentral lists this ribosomal RNA (1100 nucleotides) under Microbacterium sp. M517. Its description in RNAcentral is "bacterial SSU rRNA". It matches the Rfam family "Bacterial small subunit ribosomal RNA", at positions 28 to 1139 of the family's 1533-position model. The record is from RNAcentral. Lineage: Bacteria; Bacillati; Actinomycetota; Actinomycetes; Micrococcales; Microbacteriaceae. RNAcentral also lists the same sequence under 1 other name.